This 230-nucleotide long non-coding RNA is filed under the name Mytilus galloprovincialis (Mediterranean mussel). The record is from RNAcentral. Lineage: Eukaryota; Metazoa; Mollusca; Bivalvia; Mytilida; Mytilidae.
AUAAAGCAGGACAAAGGAUAAAAAAAUCUUACUUUAACCGCACACGUUAUCCAACUUUGGAUAAUAAAUAUUUUCAAUAUAUUCCAGGCGCUUAUUUAUAGAAAUAUUACAUAAAUUUAACAAGAGGUGAAUUCUGGGGAAGUACAUUGCAUUUUCUGCAUAAAAAGGUCCACAAAAUUUUUCGCCUCGCUCUGCUCGGCAAACCUCAACUGCCUCCCCUUAUAGGGAAG